GGCGGUUUGGCCUGUUUCGGCCGAGUGAAGCGGCACAGCUCAAUUUGAAUCUGGCUCUUUUAGAGUCCGACCUGUAAUUUGCAGAGGGCGCUUUGGCUUUGGCAGCGGUCCAAGUUCCUUGGAACAGGACGUCACAGAGGGUGAGAAUCCCGUACGUGGUCGCUGGCUAUUGCCGUGUAAAGCCCCUUCGACGAGUCGAGUUGUUUGGGAAUGCAGCUCUAAAUGGGAGGUACAUUUCUUCUAAAGCUAAAUAUUGGCCAGAGACCGAUAGCGCACAAGUAGAGUGAUCGAAAGAUGAAAGCACUUUGGAAAGAGAGUCAAACAGCACGUGAAAUUGUUGAAAGGGAAGCGCUUGCAGCCACACUCGCUUACAGUUGCUCAUCCGGGUUUCUACCCGGGCACUCUUCUGAGCAGGCCAGCAUCAUUUGGGGCGGAAGGAUAAAGGUCUCUGUACGUACCUCCUUUCGGGGAGGCCUUAUAGGGGAGACGACUACUACCCGCCUGGGACUGAUGUCCGCGCAUCUGCUAGGAUGCUGGGCUAAUGGUGAAAGCGGCCCGUCUUUGAAACCCGACCAAGGAGUCUAACU
This 587-nucleotide ribosomal RNA is filed under the name Alternaria tenuissima. RNAcentral describes it as "eukaryotic LSU rRNA". It matches the Rfam family "Eukaryotic large subunit ribosomal RNA", at positions 1 to 680 of the family's 3401-position model. The record is from RNAcentral. Lineage: Eukaryota; Fungi; Ascomycota; Dothideomycetes; Pleosporales; Pleosporaceae.